Molecule: ribosomal RNA, 484 nt
Filed under: uncultured bacterium
Lineage: Bacteria
Description: partial 16S ribosomal RNA
Rfam family: Bacterial small subunit ribosomal RNA
Source: RNAcentral
AUUGAACGCUGGCGGCAGGCCUAACACAUGCAAGUCGAGCGGAUGAAGGGAGCUUGCUCCUGGAUUCAGCGGCGGACGGGUAAGUAAUGCCUAGGAAUCUGCCUGGUAGUGGGGGAUAACGUCCGGAAACGGGCGCUAAUACCGCAUACGUCCUGAGGGAGAAAGUGGGGGAUCUUCGGACCUUACGCUAUCAGAUGAGCCUACGUCGGAUUAGCUAGUUGGUGGGGUAAAGGCCUACCAAGGCGACGAUCCGUAACUGGUCUGAGAGGAUGAUCAGUCACACUGGGACUGGAACACGGUCCAGACUCCUACGGGAGGAAGGAGUGGGGAAUUUUGGGCAAUGGGCGAAAGCCAGAUCCAGCCAUGCGGCGUGUGUUAAGAAGGUCUUCGGAUUGUAAAGCACUUUAAGUUGGGAGGAAGGGCAGUAAGUUAAUAACUUGCUGUUUUGACGUUAUCAACAGAAUAAGCACCGGCUAACUUUGUG